AUCAUGGCUCAGGACGAACGCUGGCGGCGUGCCUAACACAUGCAAGUCGAGCGGGGACUUGUUGAGGAAGUCUUCGGAUGGAAUCGAUAAGUUCUAGCGGCGGACGGGUGAGUAACGCGUGAGCAACCUGCCCUCCACAGGGGGAUAACGCACCGAAAGGUGCACUAAUACCGCAUAAGACCACGGCACUGACAUGGUGCAGGGGUCAAAGGAGCAAUCCGGUGGAAGAUGGGCUCGCGU
RNAcentral lists this ribosomal RNA (240 nucleotides) under uncultured bacterium. RNAcentral describes it as "partial 16S ribosomal RNA". It matches the Rfam family "Bacterial small subunit ribosomal RNA", at positions 16 to 236 of the family's 1533-position model. The record is from RNAcentral.